GCAUUAAUUCCAGUCACAAGCCAAUACAAAUUAUCCAUUGCAAUACAAAUCACCAUCUUAAAGAAGACCGAAAGAGUUGCACAUAUGAAACCAACUAUGCUGCUCAAAUACAUUUAAAGGACUAAUCAAAUAUAACGAGCUUGAGAAGCACAUAUAAAACCAACAAACAAUUAAGAGGAUCAGCCAACAAUAUCUUUCAAUCACAACCACGAAAGUGACAAUGCAACUAACAGAGAAGAGGAGGAAAAAUGGACCUGAAUUGCCCUCCAAUUAAUGGAACUUCAGCGACUAGACAAACUUAAAAUCUAACCUUUCAUUUGAUGAAAUUUCAAGUAGUACAUGGACAGAAAUCGAACAAAUGCUACAACCAAAUCUCAAGACAACAAUUAAACUCAAACGAGAUCACGAACAGCACUGUAGACAACACCUCGAACUCGAUCGAACUCCAUGUUUGAAAAUCCAAAACAUUAGAAGAAGAUGAUCCUUUGUUUUUGCUUUCACGAUUUUCUACUCUCUCUUUGUUUUUUACCAGAUCUUCUCCCCUGUAUGUGUGUGCAUUUUUGAGUAGUAAAGAGGUGUGGAAAGACGCACAGGGGUCACCCUAGUGGCAGGGAGCUGGUGACGAGGUCAUUUGAUUUCAAGAGGAGAUUCAAGAGUCUGGUUCGCCUGGUGGGCGUAGAAGAAGAUGGAACGACAAUUUCUGGUAAGUAAGCCGCUGUGUCUGGUUGAAGAAAGGGGUCCUGAAGGUGCGAGCUCUGGUCUGUUGUUAUUGGAAUGAAAGAAGGAGCUCGAAUAAAGGGGUCGUUUUGUGUACUAUUGAAGACGAUGUCAUGGGGGUAGGUUCCUAUGUGAAUUGCGGUGCUAAUUCCUAAGGUCUAGGUCACCCUUUUUCUUGUAUUUUUUCCAGCUCUCUUAGGAGUUACUUUUGUGUAUUGCAGCUCAUUUCGUUUAAGGUCUGUGGCUGAUCUUUGCAAAUGAAAGAAAAUAGUCAUUUCGUGUUUUUUGUUUUUUGGCAUUUUUAGGCUGGGUUUUAUAGAGGGUAGGGAUCUAGGUUUUUUUUUAGGUUAAGCAGUAUUGUCCUAGGAAUUAUAAGCUUAGAAAUUAUGGGCUAGGUCCAAAAUUAGACCUAAAAAUAGGUGGUUCGAGCUCAACUUUUAUUCUUUCUCCGCGAAUGAGACUAAAAUACGAUCUUAUAUAUUAA
RNAcentral lists this long non-coding RNA (1201 nucleotides) under Nicotiana benthamiana. RNAcentral describes it as "long non-coding RNA (NBEN_LNC017588)". The record is from RNAcentral. Lineage: Eukaryota; Viridiplantae; Streptophyta; Magnoliopsida; Solanales; Solanaceae.